This 71-nucleotide transfer RNA is filed under the name Marmota monax (woodchuck). Its description in RNAcentral is "tRNA.Ala". Lineage: Eukaryota; Metazoa; Chordata; Mammalia; Rodentia; Sciuridae. The record is from RNAcentral.
GGGGUUGUGGCUCAGUGGCAGAGCGCUUUCUUCGCACAUAUGAGACACUGGGUUCAAUCCUCAGCACCACA